RNAcentral lists this unclassified non-coding RNA (202 nucleotides) under Hevea brasiliensis (rubber tree). Lineage: Eukaryota; Viridiplantae; Streptophyta; Magnoliopsida; Malpighiales; Euphorbiaceae. The record is from RNAcentral.
GCAGCAGGCAUAAAAAGCUUGGAUCCAAGACUGCUCCUCAAAAACUGAACUAAUAGAACAUUCUUUUGGUUGGCCUGCAAGACCAUGAUAAUUCAAACUUUCCACCCAACAACUCAAAAUAGCCGCAAGCUGCCCAAUCCUAGCAACCCGAAUAGGUAAAACUAAAUUAAAAUGAUGAAGUAUCAAGAGAAGACACCUGAAG